CUCCCCGAAAGCUAUUUAGGUAGCGCCUCGUGAAUUCAUCUCCGGGGGUAGAGCACUGUUUCGGCAAGGGGGUCAUCCCGACUUACCAACCCGAUGCAAACUGCGAAUACCGGAGAAUGUUAUCACGGGAGACACACGGCGGGUGCUAACGUCCGUCGUGAAGAGGGAAACAACCCAGACCGCCAGCUAAGGUCCCAAAGUCAUGGUUAAGUGGGAAACGAUGUGGGAAGGCCCAGACAGCCAGGAUGUUGGCUUAGAAGCAGCCAUCAUUUAAAGAAAGCGUAAUAGCUCACUGGUCGAGUCGGCCUGCGCGGAAGAUGUAACGGGGCUAAACCAUGCACCGAAGCUGCGGCAGCGACACUAUGUGUUGUUGGGUAGGGGAGCGUUCUGUAAGCCUGUGAAGGUGUACUGUGAGGUAUGCUGGAGGUAUCAGAAGUGCGAAUGCUGACAUAAGUAACGAUAAAGCGGGUGAAAAGCCCGCUCGCCGGAAGACCAAGGGUUCCUGUCCAACGUUAAUCGGGGCAGGGUGAGUCGACCCCUAAGGCGAGGCCGAAAGGCGUAGUCGAUGGGAAACAGGUUAAUAUUCCUGUACUUGGUGUUACUGCGAAGGGGGGACGGAGAAGGCUAUGUUGGCCGGGCGACGGUUGUCCCGGUUUAAGCGUGUAGGCUGGUUUUCCAGGCAAAUCCGGAAAAUCAAGGCUGAGGCGUGAUGACGAGGCACUACGGUGCUGAAGCAACAAAUGCCCUGCUUCCAGGAAAAGCCUCUAAGCAUCAGGUAACAUCAAAUCGUACCCCAAACCGACACAGGUGGUCAGGUAGAGAAUACCAAGGCGCUUGAGAGAACUCGGGUGAAGGAACUAGGCAAAAUGGUGCCGUAACUUCGGGAGAAGGCACGCUGAUAUGUAGGUGAAGCGACUUGCUCGUGGAGCUGAAAUCAGUCGAAGAUACCAGCUGGCUGCAACUGUUUAUUAAAAACACAGCACUGUGCAAACACGAAAGUGGACGUAUACGGUGUGACGCCUGCCCGGUGCCGGAAGGUUAAUUGAUGGGGUUAGCGCAAGCGAAGCUCUUGAUCGAAGCCCCGGUAAACGGCGGCCGUAACUAUAACGGUCCUAAGGUAGCGAAAUUCCUUGUCGGGUAAGUUCCGACCUGCACGAAUGGCGUAAUGAUGGCCAGGCUGUCUCCACCCGAGACUCAGUGAAAUUGAACUCGCUGUGAAGAUGCAGUGUACCCGCGGCAAGACGGAAAGACCCCGUGAACCUUUACUAUAGCUUGACACUGAACAUUGAGCCUUGAUGUGUAGGAUAGGUGGGAGGCUUUGAAGUGUGGACGCCAGUCUGCAUGGAGCCGACCUUGAAAUACCACCCUUUAAUGUUUGAUGUUCUAACGUUGACCCGUAAUCCGGGUUGCGGACAGUGUCUGGUGGGUAGUUUGACUGGGGCGGUCUCCUCCUAAAGAGUAACGGAGGAGCACGAAGGUUGGCUAAUCCUGGUCGGACAUCAGGAGGUUAGUGCAAUGGCAUAAGCCAGCUUGACUGCGAGCGUGACGGCGCGAGCAGGUGCGAAAGCAGGUCAUAGUGAUCCGGUGGUUCUGAAUGGAAGGGCCAUCGCUCAACGGAUAAAAGGUACUCCGGGGAUAACAGGCUGAUACCGCCCAAGAGUUCAUAUCGACGGCGGUGUUUGGCACCUCGAUGUCGGCUCAUCACAUCCUGGGGCUGAAGUAGGUCCCAAGGGUAUGGCUGUUCGCCAUUUAAAGUGGUACGCGAGCUGGGUUUAGAACGUCGUGAGACAGUUCGGUCCCUAUCUGCCGUGGGCGCUGGAGAACUGAGGGGGGCUGCUCCUAGUACGAGAGGACCGGAGUGGACGCAUCACUGGUGUUCGGGUUGUCAUGCCAAUGGCACUGCCCGGUAGCUAAAUGCGGAAGAGAUAAGUGCUGAAAGCAUCUAAGCACGAAACUUGCC
Molecule: ribosomal RNA, 1960 nt
Filed under: Escherichia coli
Lineage: Bacteria; Pseudomonadati; Pseudomonadota; Gammaproteobacteria; Enterobacterales; Enterobacteriaceae
Description: partial 23S ribosomal RNA
Rfam family: Bacterial large subunit ribosomal RNA
Source: RNAcentral